This 300-nucleotide ribosomal RNA is filed under the name Dyscia fagaria. RNAcentral's name for it is "partial 12S ribosomal RNA". Lineage: Eukaryota; Metazoa; Arthropoda; Insecta; Lepidoptera; Geometridae. The record is from RNAcentral.
AAAUAUUUUGGCGGUAUUUUAGUUUAUUUAGAGGAAUCUGUUUAUUAAUUGAUAAUUCACGAAUAAAUUUACUUAAUUUAAUAUUUUGUAUAUCAUUGUUAAAUAAAUAUUUUUUAAUAAUUAUAAUAUUUUAAAAUUGUAAGUAAAAAUUAAAUCAAAUCAAGAUGCAGAUUAUAAUUAAGAAUAUGAUGGAUUACAAUAAUUUUAUUUAAAUGAAUUUUAAUUUGUAAUAAUUAAAUGAAGGUGGAUUUAAAUGUAAUUUUAUUUAUUUUAAUAAUUUGAUUAAGAAUUAAAAUAUGU